Long non-coding RNA from Zalophus californianus (California sea lion), 677 nucleotides. RefSeq lists it as uncharacterized. The transcript is spliced from 6 exons. The record is from RefSeq and is a predicted model, not a curated record. NCBI's taxonomy places the organism in Eukaryota, Metazoa, Chordata, Mammalia, Carnivora, Otariidae.
CUGAAAGUUACUUAACUCCUCUGUUAAUUGGCCAUUGUCAAAUUCAGGUAAAUACUGUACAGUGUAAGCAGGGUAACAGUCUCUUAAGAGCUCUCAACACAUAGAAGAUCUACACCUUUAUCAGUUGGAGUGAAGAACUAAAGAAGAAAUUCAAGCCACUAUUCAGAACAAUGAAUACUUUGCAGAAAAAGACUGAGGUUUAAUAUUUAGGAAGGAUUUCUACUCACUGACUGAAGUUCUUUUCUUCCAUAAAAGGUGGAGCAGUAUAUAUUAAUGCUGAAUAUCUAUUUAUCAAAUGUAGCUGAAAUUAUAACCUAAUAUCAUUUGUGACUCAAGAGUUUUGAAUGAGAUUGACUCCACCCCACAGCAACAAAAGUUUAGCUCUGAAUCAGGUGCUGUAUGUACUUGGUUCCUACCCACCAAUCUGCAAGGAGAUCAUGGCAUAAACUGACUUUAAGGUUACUGAAGUAAAAAGGGUACUAGACUACUAGACUAGACUGGCAUUUACAAUAACCAGCUACGAUUCUGGCAUUGUGCAUCACUAGCUUUAAAUAGAAGAUCUACUGCAUACUCCUAAAGUCUGAGACCACUCAAUAUGUCAUUUUGCACAUCUCUCAAAAACAAAACAGAACAUAAAUAAAACUUGUCCCUUUAACAAAAAAGACGAAGUUGGAAGG